UUUUACCCUAUCACAUUUUCAGCCGCCUCACUCUCUCUUCCUCAUCCUCACCGUCGGUUCUCUCUCUCCCUCACAGCUCAAAUCUUCACACAAACACACACAGAGCAAAGAGAGAGAGAGAGAGAGAGAGAGAGAGAGAGAGAGAGUAGAGCGAGGAAUGCUCGAAACAUCGAGACUCAACCGAUCUCCAAAACGAUUCGUUUCAUCUGAAACCCUAACCCUAGCCCUAGCCCUAGCCCUAUCACUUCACAGAUCGAUGGUUUCGACGAUGAAUCUUCAUUUCAAUUGAAGAAAAUCUUUGAAUCUCGAAAAUCGGUGUGACCUUCGCGGUAUUGAUUUGAUUUCGAUCAGUGAAGUUGGCGAUCUCGGCGGUUGCAGAUCUGACCGGAGAGAGAGUGACUGACUGAAAAAGACACGAAACGAUGCCGUCGCCGUUGCAGGAGGCGGAGGUGAAAACACUUUGCGAUCAAGCGAGGGCGAUUCUUGUUGAGGAGUGGAACGUACAGUCGGUGAAGUGUCCGGCGACAGUUUGCGGUGAUAUCCAUGGCCAGUUCUACGAUCUCAUCGAGCUCUUUCGGAUAUGGGCGAUUAUGUAGCUCGGUUCAUGUUUUAUCUUCGAGAUCUGUAAAAAGUCCAAUGAUGAUACCGUAAAGACAUGUAUAUCAUCACCUUCCCUCCCUAUCACAUUUUCAUUAAAUCCAAUAUAUAAUGUUAUAAAUGCUAAGUGAAUGUUUGAAGAGGACAUUGAUGCAAAGUGAAAACUCUUGUUGAUUUAAGAUGAGAUGUAAUCUGACUUAUGAAAAAAGAAAAAUGAAAAAGAUGAGGUGCAAUUUGUCCAGCAAGUCAUGCUUAGAAACUACUAGUUGAAAAUGAUUUAUUAUAUUUUCCAGAAUAUAACUUUUAAAGUGCACAUAUUUGCUAUGAUGUUAUGUGGUGGUUUCUGGACAGUACAUAUACUGAGUUUUGAGACUGCCCUGAUCCAUGAGAGGUGAAGGAAUGCACAUCAGCCUUGCUGCGUUUUGCGAAGAAGACUAACAUCCCCAUUCUUUUGGUGCGUAUACAUUGUCCAAGUUUGAAAGGAAGCCAACAUUUGACAUUUUUGGAUGUAUAUUCAUCACAUCUAGUUAUUUGAGAGACAAAAUCAGGCAUUUGGAGGAGGCCCCCACUCAAUCAGAUGGUGCUGGUGGUAAAGGCACAUGGGGAAAACUCCCUGACACUGAUGGGUGUUGUUCAUUAUGGAUAUUGGAUGUCUAACAUGCUUCUUAAAAACAAGAAGAGAAAAAAAGGGGGGAAGUAAAAAAGAAAAAAAAAUGGUAUAUGGGGUGUUUAACAUGGAAGUUGGUCUUAUUUUGUUGGAUUAUUGGUAGUGCCUGUCUGCGAUGUAUAUGUUAAGCCACAACCACAAGAGUAUAGAGUAGUUCUUAUUUUUGUUUCCCUUUUGAUUGAUCUUUAUCCACCUCCCUCCCCUUCUUUUUUCUCUCCUUUUGAUUAUCACUAGUGGUAUACCACAUCUUUUCUUUUGUUAAUUUUAUUAUGAUGGAUAUAGACAAUGUUAUAUAGUUAAUAUAAUGUUGUGUACAAAGGACCACAUCUUUUCUUUUAUUAUGUAUUUGAUAAUAUAUUUAUAUGUUAAUAUUAUGUUAGUUUGGAGACAUU
Molecule: long non-coding RNA, 1656 nt
Organism: Quercus robur (English oak)
Lineage: Eukaryota; Viridiplantae; Streptophyta; Magnoliopsida; Fagales; Fagaceae
Exons: 4
Source: RefSeq, a predicted model, not a curated record